CGCCAGACUCCUACGGGAGGCAGCAGUGGGGAAUAUUGCACAAUGGGCGAAAGCCUGAUGCAGCAACGCCGCGUGAAGGAAGACGGUUUUCGGAUUGUAAACUUCUGUUCUUAGUGAAGAAUAAUGACGGUAACUAAGGAGCAAGCCACGGCUAACUACGUGCCAGCAGCCGCGGUAAUACGUAGGGAGCGAGCGUUGUCCGGAUUUACUGGGUGUAAAGGGUGCGCAGGCGGCUCUGCAAGUCAGGCGUGAAAGCUAGGGGCUCAACCCCUAAACUGCGCUUGAAACUGUGGAGCUUGAGUGAAGUAGAGGCAGGCGGAAUUCCCGGUGUAGCGGUGAAAUGCGUAGAGAUCGGGAGGAACACCAGUGGCGAAGGCGGCCUGCUGGGCUUUAACUGACGCUCAGGCACGAAAGCAUGGGUAGCAAACAGGAUUAGAUACCCCUGUAGU
Molecule: ribosomal RNA, 449 nt
Filed under: uncultured bacterium
Lineage: Bacteria
Description: bacterial SSU rRNA
Rfam family: Bacterial small subunit ribosomal RNA
Source: RNAcentral